Molecule: non-coding RNA, 519 nt
Organism: Paramuricea clavata
Lineage: Eukaryota; Metazoa; Cnidaria; Anthozoa; Malacalcyonacea; Plexauridae
Source: the annotation of a GenBank genome assembly
GGCCCAAUGAGGAAAACUACACAGUAUGUAGCUGAGGUCAGACUGUUAGCACCCUCGGUAAAUCCACUGUAAAUGAGUCACAACGUCGAGUCACAACGUCGACGCUUUGAAAACUGUUAUAUUAUGUUGUACAAAUACCAUAAUUAAAGAUUCAUUUGUACAAAAUUGCCCAUACAUUUUUUGCUUUUGGACCAGUAAACUAUACGUAGGUAUAAAAACGCAUGACUCGGAAGUAGUCUUAGGUACGUCUUGACUCUUAAGUUUGUACCAGACCAGGUACGCGGCAAAAGUUGUCGGAGUACCAGUCCAAUUAUCCCACCCUGGUCAUUUCUGUCUAUGUGUCUGUUUACUUCUACUGUCUGUGUAUUGUAUGUUUGUAUUUUGUGCACUUAGUCCACAUGUCUUUUUCUUCAUUCUCUUCUUCCUUCUCUUCUUUUAAUUUGUAUAUGUUGAAUAUGUUAGUUUGUAAAUUUGAAAUAGUUUUUGUACAGUCAGUUUUUGAAGUGUUGUAAUCUCAAU